RNAcentral lists this unclassified non-coding RNA (2820 nucleotides) under Leishmania donovani. RNAcentral describes it as "gene:LdHU3.29.3450(CDS-product:hypothetical_prote in_conserved)". The record is from RNAcentral. Lineage: Eukaryota; Euglenozoa; Kinetoplastea; Trypanosomatida; Trypanosomatidae.
UUGAAAAGAGCGGCCCUCCCCCGGGUCGCUGCGUAUCGCAGCGGCGAGAACUCACGUGAGUCCCGUACGAGAGGAAAAGGGAACGAUGGCGACGAAAAUAAUCAGCGAGGACAAGACAGAUGAGACCAGUGUGCGCAUGCCCGUUUGUCUUGGAUUCAUUUGAUUCUUCGAACCGCAUCAUUUGUUGUUUUCCAACCGACGGUGGCUCCACCUGCCUUCUCUCGCUCCCUCUCCUUCUUUCGCGUGCACACGGGCAACCAUGUUCGUGCGCCCUUCACGGCCGUACGUGCACGGCACCGGUGCGUGCGUGUUUGCCCACCUGCCCUCCCCCUCUCCCAGCGGCCACGCUUGUCUCAUCCCGCCUUCUUUACGUUUUUUUUUUCAAAGAGACUGCCAGUCGACAUGAGAACGGCCACCGUUCUUGGUGCCGGAGAGCUGGGUAAGGCGUGCGCCUGCGCCCUCGCAGCAAACCACAGCGUCGACUCCGUCACCCUUUUGACGCGGGACGCUGCUAUGGCGGCACCGGAGAAAGCGAACGCGACGCUGUCUUCGACGUACAGCGGCGAUCUAGCGAACUUUUCAGGCGCAGAGGGCAGCUCUACCGGUGCCUCUUCGUCACCCGCUGCACCCUCAAGCAUUACCGCAACUCCAUGGCCGUCUGUCGUUCACCUGCAGGACUUGAAGCAAUUCUGCCGCGACGCCGCAUCCGCGAUAAACCGCAAGCGGGCCCAGCACCCUCUGUUCUUGUGCACUCCUUGUGCGUCGUACCUGCCUGGGCAUGAUGCAUGGGCGCGCGCCGCGUUCGGGAACGAACACUGCCCAGCGACCCAUGAUGUACUCACCCGGUGGCGCUCCUCGCCGGCUGCGAUUGCGUCGUUGCAAUCAGAACCAGCGCCUUCCAAUGGAUUUGUCGUGGUGUUCACACGAGGCUUCGCCGCUGAUGGAGCGGUGCCAGCGCAGCUUGCGGAUGCGCUUCUAAACGGUCCCCUCGCAGAAGAUGCCAGUUCAGCGGCGCCGGACUCACUAUCCGAAAUCGAGACGCCGGUGUUGGUGGCGUCGGGCCCGGUGCUGGCGAAGGAGUGGUCUCUGCAGUCGACGCCGCUGGCAUCGAGCGGGGCAUCUGCGACUCUUUCUUCGCUCAUUUCAUCCAGACCCCCAAGCGCACUGCCGGUGGCUGCCGGCGCAGACGGUGGUGCCGGCGAAGGUGGAACGAGGGCGGCACUUUCGUCUGCGUCAGGCAGGGAGCUUCCUCAUGCCUUUUCCGGCGUGGCGCUCACAUUCGCCGCAUGGACACCAUCCAUUGCCGCUGAUGCCGGCCGGCAAGAGGCGCUCGCAGAUCAGCUUCGCAUCUUUUUUCCUCGCGAGUCCGUCACCUACUUGACCGCCCCUGACGCAGCCGCCAUCCUGGCCAUUGUGAAUGGCUGCGUGCCGCUCUGCUCUUUCGGAGCUGGCUUGGUGAGUAGCGUGUACACGGGCACGAGCGUGACGUCCCUGGCCGCCUACGCCCAGCACGCCGUCGCGGCCACAGAGCAACUCGUGAACAAGCUCUUGGGCCAUGCAGCCGGCACGCCGCUGCCGCUGCCAGCCGUGUCCACGCUCUGGUGUGCCUGCACGUGUCUUGUAUCGCGCGAAUUUGCUCUUGGCCGCAAGCUGGACUUCUACUUCCGCAAGCAAGAUGCCGCUGAGGCGAUCUUCCGUGGCCACGAGCACCACCUCUUCGCGGCGACAGUCGACGGUCUUCACGAGCGCAUGCAGACUAGUGGCGUUGCCAGCCCAUUCUACGAGGUGCUCAUGGACACCUACAACACCAUGAUUCGCGCGUCACGGGCAGGCGAGGGGCUGGUGAAGGAGGGCUACUACGGCUAUCGCGAUACGCUCGGUGAGGACAGUGGCGAGCUGCUGCGGCAGGUCACGGGCGUGGAUGAGGCGAUGCUCUCCGGCGACGAGGCGCGCUUCACGGAAGCCAAGGAGCGCAUAAUGAAGGCAUUCGCCGGCUCGACCUUUUGAGCAGGUCGCUAUAAGUGCAAUAAGAGGAGGGCGAGAGCAGAGCAAGAGGGAGCAGAAAAAACGGAGGUCGUGCAAAUAGCUGAAAGGGCAGCAGUGUGCGUCUCCCUCCAUUCCAUUGAUCUGCAUACAUUCUGCUCGAUUGCGAAAGGGUGCGGAGGGGGAGCGGGGAGGACACCCCUCUCCGCGCGUGGCAUCGCAGGGCGCAGUACACCCCUCCCCCUCCCCACGCUCUGUGUGGGGGAAGCUAUGCAGCCCCCACCCCCUAUCCCUGCCAACGCCGAGCCACUUCAGGUGGUGAAAACUUCACGCACCUCGGACAUGGCGGAGGGCGGGAGGGUCAGAGCGAUGUACCGCCACGCAUGCCGGCGGUCAGGCUGUGGACAUUGUUGCGCUGGAGAGGCCAGCGACGGUGCGCACGCUUCUGCCAUCCAUGCGAUAGGCGACGUGUCCGCGUGACUCGAACGUAUCCCACACGGCCCUCGCACUGCCUGCUGGUGGAGGCACAGCCUGCGCGACCGCGAGGAGAUGCACUGGGUGGCGACCAGCACAAUGGGUGGCGCGGCUGUGCGGCGGAAGGGGGAGAGUAGAGUUUUGCGUAGGGGCGGUGCUGGGAUGACUGAGUCGGCGCAUUGCUGUAACACGUUUGUCUAGCGCUGCCUCGCCCCACGCGGAUGGGGCCUGUGACAGGCCCUGAGGUGAGCUGAGUGGGGUCUCACUCAUGCUGUGCGGCAGAGAUGGCGGGCACCUUGACGGAAAGGAAGCUGUGCGUAUGUGGUCUGCGGCGCGCGAGCGUAGCGUAACCGCCUCGAGUUC